AGAAUCAACGCUGGCGGCGUGCCUAACACAUGCAAGUCGAACGAGAAAGUGGAGCAAUCCAUGAGUAAAGUGGCGCACGGGUGAGUAACACGUGACUAACCUACCCUUGAGUGGGGGAUAACCUAGGGAAACCUGGGCUAAUACCGCAUAAUACCUUCGGGUCAAAGGGGCAAUUCGCUUAAGGAGGGGGUCGCGGCCGAUUAGUUAGUUGGCGGGGUAAUGGCCCACCAAGACUGUGAUCGGUAUCC
This 248-nucleotide ribosomal RNA is filed under the name uncultured bacterium. RNAcentral describes it as "partial small subunit ribosomal RNA". It matches the Rfam family "Bacterial small subunit ribosomal RNA", at positions 26 to 288 of the family's 1533-position model. The record is from RNAcentral.